CGGGGGGAGCAAGCGUUGUUCGGAUUUACUGGGCGUAAAGGGCGCGUAGGCGGCCUCUGCAAGUCGACUGUGAAAUCUCCGGGCUUAACCCGGAACGGUCAGCCGAUACUGCAGGGCUAGAGUGCAGAAGGGGCAACUGGAAUUCUCGGUGUAGCGGUGAAAUGCGUAAAUAUCGAGAGGAACACCUGCGGCGAAGGCGGGUUGCUGGGCUGACACUGACGCUGAGGCGCGAAAGCUAGGGGAGCGAACGGGACUAGAUACCCCGGUAGUCCUAGCCUUAAACGAUGAAUGCUUGGUGUCUGGGGUUUUAUAGUCCCCGGGUGCCGUCGCUAACGCUUUAAGCAUUCCGCCUGGGGAGUACGGUCGCAAGACUG
This 374-nucleotide ribosomal RNA is filed under the name uncultured organism. RNAcentral describes it as "bacterial SSU rRNA". It matches the Rfam family "Bacterial small subunit ribosomal RNA", at positions 526 to 896 of the family's 1533-position model. The record is from RNAcentral.